RNAcentral lists this unclassified non-coding RNA (379 nucleotides) under uncultured Gammaproteobacteria bacterium. Its description in RNAcentral is "contains 16S-23S intergenic spacer region". Lineage: Bacteria; Pseudomonadati; Pseudomonadota; Gammaproteobacteria. The record is from RNAcentral.
UCCGGCUUGACGCCGGCAGUCCCCCGAGAGUCCUCAGCUUUACCUGUUAGUAACACGGGGCAAGGGUUGCGCUCGUUGCGGGACUUAACCCAACAUCUCACGACACGAGCUGACGACAGCCAUGCAGCACCUGUGUUCCCGUUCCCUUUCGGGCACAGCCCCCCCUCAGGGGCCUUCAGGACAUGUCAAGGGUAGGUAAGGUUUUUCGCGUUGCAUCGAAUUAAUCCACAUAAUCCACCGCUUGUGCGGGUCCCCGUCAAUUCCUUUGAGUUUUAACCUUGCGACCGUACUCCCCAGGCGGUCAACUUCACGCGUUAGCUGCGUUACCAAGUCAAUUAAGACCCGACAACUAGUUGACAUCGUUUAGGGCGUGGACUAC